GGGCAGAUAGUGAAGCGGAAUCACCUGGGCCUUCGGAGCCCAUAUCCUGGGUUCGAAUCCCAGUCUGCCCA
RNAcentral lists this transfer RNA (71 nucleotides) under Candidatus Heimdallarchaeota archaeon. RNAcentral describes it as "tRNA-Arg". It matches the Rfam family "tRNA". From Rfam's summary of the family: Transfer RNA (tRNA) molecules are approximately 80 nucleotides in length. Their secondary structure includes four short double-helical elements and three loops (D, anti-codon, and T loops). The record is from RNAcentral. Lineage: Archaea; Promethearchaeati; Candidatus Heimdallarchaeota.